UAUGGCUAUGACGAUAAAAAAUAUAAAAGUAGUGGACUGAAAAAUACAUUGAUGAAUAAAUUAAUUCUGAGCGAUG
Molecule: small nucleolar RNA, 76 nt
Filed under: Solanum tuberosum (potato)
Lineage: Eukaryota; Viridiplantae; Streptophyta; Magnoliopsida; Solanales; Solanaceae
Description: Small nucleolar RNA R21
Rfam family: Small nucleolar RNA R21
About the family: snoR21 is a member of the C/D class of snoRNA which contain the C (UGAUGA) and D (CUGA) box motifs. Most of the members of the box C/D family function in directing site-specific 2'-O-methylation of substrate RNAs.
Source: Rfam by way of RNAcentral